CCUACGGGAGGCAGCAGUGGGGGAUAUUGUACAAUGGGGGAAACCCUGAUGCAGCGACGCCGCGUGUGGGAAGACGGUCCUCUGGAUUGUAAACCACUGUCCCCAGGGACGAAGAUGACGGUACCUGGGGAGGAAGCUCCGGCUAACUACGUGCCAGCAGCCGCGGUAAUACGUAGGGAGCGAGCGUUGUCCGGAAUUACUGGGUGUAAGGGGAGCGUAGGCGGGACUGCAAGUUGGGUGUAAAAUCUACCGGCUCAACCGGUAGCCGCACUCAAAACUGCAGUUCUUGAGUGAAGUAGAGGCAGGCGGAAUUCCUAGUGUAGCGGUGAAAUGCGUAGAUAUUAGGAGGAACACCAGUGGCGAAGGCGGCCUGCUGGGCUUUUACUGACGCUGAGGCUCGAAAGUGUGGGGAGCAAACAGGAUUAGAUACCCCUGUAGUC
Molecule: ribosomal RNA, 440 nt
Filed under: uncultured bacterium
Lineage: Bacteria
Description: partial 16S ribosomal RNA
Rfam family: Bacterial small subunit ribosomal RNA
Source: RNAcentral